Ciona savignyi (Pacific transparent sea squirt) is the source of this 72-nucleotide non-coding RNA. The record is from Rfam. NCBI's taxonomy places the organism in Eukaryota, Metazoa, Chordata, Ascidiacea, Phlebobranchia, Cionidae.
GCCCGAUUAGCUCAGCCGGUAGAGUGUUGGACUUUUAAUCCAACGGUCAAGGAGCAAGUCCCUUAUCCGGAU